This 381-nucleotide long non-coding RNA is filed under the name Ananas comosus (pineapple). RNAcentral describes it as "long non-coding RNA (ACOM_LNC006927)". The record is from RNAcentral. Lineage: Eukaryota; Viridiplantae; Streptophyta; Magnoliopsida; Poales; Bromeliaceae.
UUAUAUACCCCUAAAAAGUUUCCGACUUUCCGAUUUACCCUUCUUAGAAGGCUAAUAUUGAAAAUACCCUUUCUACGUUCCAACCUAUUUCUAAUAUACCCCUAGAGUUAAAAUCUGUUAAUUAACUCUGUUAUCUCUGUAAAAUUUCUAUUUUGUCCUUUCAAAUAUACUCUUCCACUAAAAAGUUUCCGGCUUUUCGAUUUACCCCUCUUAGAAGGCUAAUAUUGAAAAUACCCUUUCUACGUUCCAGCCUAUUUCUAAUAUACCCCUAGAGUUAAAAUUUAUUAAUUAACUCUAUUAUCUCUGUAAAAUUACUAUUUUGUCCUUUCAAAUAUACCCUUCCACCAUCACCGACUUUCUUAUUUGCCCUUAAAGUCAAGG